RNAcentral lists this ribosomal RNA (253 nucleotides) under uncultured bacterium. RNAcentral describes it as "partial 16S ribosomal RNA". It matches the Rfam family "Bacterial small subunit ribosomal RNA", at positions 524 to 776 of the family's 1533-position model. The record is from RNAcentral.
UACAGAGGUCCCAAGCGUUGUUCGGAUUCAUUGGGCGUAAAGGGUGCGUAGGCGGCGCGGUAAGUCGGGUGUGAAAUCUCGGGGCUUAACUCCGAAACUGCAUUCGAUACUGCCGUGCUUGAGGACUGGAGAGGAGACUGGAAUUUACGGUGUAGCGGUGAAAUGCGUAGAUAUCGUAAGGAAGACCAGUGGCGAAGGCGGGUCUCUGGGCCGUAACUGACGCUGAGGAGCGAAAGCGUGGGGAGCGAACAGG